RNAcentral lists this ribosomal RNA (442 nucleotides) under uncultured bacterium. RNAcentral's name for it is "partial 16S ribosomal RNA". It matches the Rfam family "Bacterial small subunit ribosomal RNA", at positions 338 to 795 of the family's 1533-position model. The record is from RNAcentral.
CCUACGGGAGGCAGCAGUGGGGAAUAUUGGGCAAUGGGCGCAAGCCUGACCCAGCAACGUCGCGUGAAGGAAGAAGGCCUUCGGGUUGUAAACUUCUUUUGACAGGGAAGAGCAGAAGACGGUACCUGUCGAAUAAGCCACGGCUAACUACGUGCCAGCAGCAGCGGUAAUACGUAGGUGGCAAGCGUUGUCCGGAUUUACUGGGUGUAAAGGGCGUAUAGCCGGGCUGACAAGUCAGAUGUGAAAUACGGGGGCUCAACCCCCGAACUGCAUUUGAAACUGUUUGUCUAGAGUAUCGGAGAGGCAGGCGGAAUGCCUAGUGUAGCGGUGAAAUGCGUAGAUAUUAGGAGGAACACCAGUGGCGAAGGCGGCCUGCUGGACGACAACUGACGGUGAGGCGCGAAAGCGUGGGGAGCAAACAGGAUUAGAUACCCCAGUAGUC